This 493-nucleotide ribosomal RNA is filed under the name uncultured bacterium. Its description in RNAcentral is "partial 16S ribosomal RNA". It matches the Rfam family "Bacterial small subunit ribosomal RNA", at positions 29 to 523 of the family's 1533-position model. The record is from RNAcentral.
AUUGAACGCUGGCGGCAUGCUUUACACAUGCAAGUCGAACGGUAACAGGUUAAGCUGACGAGUGGCGAACGGGUGAGUAAUGCAUCGGAACGUGCCCGAUCGUGGGGGAUAACGCAGCGAAAGCUGCGCUAAUACCGCAUACGAUCUGAGGAUGAAAGCGGGGGACCGUAAGGCCUCGCGCGAUCGGAGCGGCCGAUGUCAGAUUAGGUAGUUGGUGGGGUAAAGGCUCACCAAGCCGACGAUCUGUAGCUGGUCUGAGAGGACGACCAGCCACACUGGGACUGAGACACGGCCCAGACUCCUACGGGAGGCAGCAGUGGGGAAUUUUGGACAAUGGGCGAAAGCCUGAUCCAGCAAUGCCGCGUGCAGGAAGAAGGCCUUCGGGUUGUAAACUGCUUUUGUGCGGAGCGAAAAGGCUCUCUCUAAUACAGGGGGCUCAUGACGGUACCGUAAGAAUAAGCACCGGCUAACUACGUGCCAGCAGCCGCCGUAA